RNAcentral lists this ribosomal RNA (256 nucleotides) under uncultured bacterium. RNAcentral describes it as "partial 16S ribosomal RNA". It matches the Rfam family "Bacterial small subunit ribosomal RNA", at positions 14 to 252 of the family's 1533-position model. The record is from RNAcentral.
GUAUCAUGGCUCAGGAUGAACGCUGGCGGCGUGCUUAACACAUGCAAGUCGAACGGGAAACUUUCAUUGAAGCUUCGGCUAGAUUUGGUCUGUUUCUAGUGGCGGACGGGUGAGUAACGCGUGGGUAACCUGCCUUAUACAGGGGGAUAACAACCAGGAAAUGGUUGCUAAUACCGCAUAAGCGCACAGGACCGCAUGGUCCGGUGUGAAAAACUCCGGUGGUAUAAGAUGGACCCGCGUUGGAUUAGCUAGUUGG